Equus asinus (donkey) is the source of this 2485-nucleotide long non-coding RNA. NCBI's taxonomy places the organism in Eukaryota, Metazoa, Chordata, Mammalia, Perissodactyla, Equidae. The record is from Ensembl.
UGAGCAACCCUGGCAACCAUCUUUGCAGGGACUCUUCAGUGGGCACAGGGUCUUUAGCCUGCUAUAAUCAUGGAAAGAAGGGGAUUCCUUGUUGCUGCUUUGGUCUUUUGGUUUCGAGGCUUUUCUUCACUUGCUUCUGGGAGGAAACACUAUGAAGGCAAGAGUGCCGGCUUCCUAAGGAGAGAGUCAGAAGAUGAGCUGCAGAUUUCAACCCUGCCACUACUUGUGUGAACCCAGACAAGUCCUUUAGUAUCUCCAGCUCUCAGACAGGUUGCUUCAGCUCUUUGAGGCUCACAUUUUCUCAUCUGCAACGUAAGUGGAUUAAAAGACAGGAUUCAGGACCCUUCCAGACUGCAGACACUGCUAUACUCUGAAAUUUGGAACGACAGCUAGCUUUGGAGACUGGAAGCCCUGGAUGUGCAUCUCAGAUUCACCACUUUCUAGUUGGCUGAGCCAAUCUUCAGACAGGCCAGGCUGCACUUUAAACGUGCCAAACAAAUGAAAUUAUUUAAAAAAUAAAAACAAAUGGAAGUUAAUUUCCUCCUGAAGAAUUCUUUUUAAAAUGCCACGAGAACUCUCGGGAUAAUUGGAGACAUCCUUGGGCGGCACAGAACCACUGUUAUGGACUGUUACCUAAGCUCAAAGCACCACUGUAACUUUAUCCCACUGUACUUUCUGUUUGGCCGAAAAGAAACCAAGCUUCCUGGAGCCGGCUUCCACUUGGAUUCCAGCUUUCUGGCUCCUGAUGUGGAUUUGUGGUUUUCAACUGCUUGCAGUUUAAAUAGAAAAGACUAGAAGGCCUUGGAGAACUGGAAAAGGCAGGACAGCUGGGCGUCAUGUAGUUCUGAACUUUGACCAGCAGGUGUCUCCACAGACAAGGGAGAAGGUUCCUUUUGGCCUUGGAGGUGGAAGAUGGAUUUUCUAGUUUGAGGAAAACAGUGGCGGAAAUGAAGCAAACAAAGGUAGGUCAGUUCCCUACAGAAAUCAAUCCCAACAGUACAAAUGUUUCUUAACCAACAGCUGGAAAGGCGGUAGAAAACCUAAGCAAACCCCAAUCUUAAUGCGAGGAAGCCGCUGUAAAAGGAGAGUCUGUACUAUCUUCCCAGACAUGAAAGGCUGUUUGAAGGUGAGCACUAAAAACUGAGAGGCAAUUCCCAAGGCAGGUGUGACAGAGAAGACAGCUCUUUAGUCAGGAGAGAUGUGAACACGACGGGAAAAGAGGAAAGAUGCAGUUCUAUAGGUUUAGGACCGGGGAAAUAAAGAAUUUCCAUCUCAGGUGGACCUCUGAAGUUUUUAUUUUCUGUGAAAUGUUGUGAACCUUUUUGAUUCAGGGAAGAAAAGGAUCCAAAUACGCCAAACAUCUUAAUAUUUGUUGAGUCCCACAUUUUUCAUUUAGGAGAAAGCAGCAAAUUACAAGAAAAAUUUUAUUAGUGUAAAUAUUAGGGAGUUGAUCACAGGGUAACUCACCUUAAGGAGCAUACACUUUUGAGAAAAAAGUUGUCCUCGAUGAAUUUUUUUUCUCUACUACAUGUAUUUUCCCAUUGAUUGUCCUGAUAAAACCAAAAGUGUAUUUGCCUGAGAAUAUUGAUCCCAAAUGAUAAUAUAGUCACAUCUGAGAAUGCAGAAAACCUUUAAAAAAAUCAUGCUCAAAUAUGUUUUGGAUGACUUAAAGGGUAGUUAUUUAAUAAUAAUCUAAAAAUGCUUAAACUGUAUCCCAGAACAUACGCAAAGUUGUAAGGGCAACUUUGAUGUUUUAUGUAGUAGCUUGAAUGGUUCCAUCAAAAAGAAAAAUGUGGGCAAGCUGAACAGAAAGCCCUCAGCGGAAGGCUCAUUUAGCUUCUCUCAAGCCCUGUUCCCCAAGAUGUUUUAUAGCAGGGGACUGUGGACUUACUUCGGCUGCUCAGACCUGUUUCUGGAGACCCACGGGAAGCACCGAGACACGAGUAGGUCGAUCUUGGAUAGGAGGAGGAAAGACAGGCACACAGCCGAGGGGGGAAUGCAGAAGGCAGCCCUAACAAAGGGAAGGCGCCCCUUCAGCUCACCCGGAGAACCAGGACACGCUGAGUGUUCUGACAAUGUGUAUUCAACACGGCCCUGAUUUCUAGGUGAUGGCAGAAUUUAUAACUGGCUAAUAGUUUUCUUAUUUGGGAAUAUGUGGCCUGUAAGCGCUCUAUAAUGUUGCCUUUUGGCAUACAGAAUGUCUCCAUAAUGCUUCUGUAUCAACUGAAUGCUCCUAGAAUGUUAGCAUCUUUCAGAGCAGUCACGAGUUGGGCCAAUGCAGAGUGAGGGGUUGGACUUGCUGGUAAACUGUCUGCAGACAGGCUAAGCGGGACUUUAAAAUCGUGAGGUAUGGUACUACCUCCCACUGCUUAUAUCACUCUCAGGUCAGACCUUAUGUCUCAGAGGUGUUGUAUCUCUUCUAGAAGUUUCUAAGGGCCUAUCAUAUCCAUCAAGAACGCCUUGGUUUGCCCUUUUCAAAUUCGAG